AGCUCCAAUAGCGUAUAUUAAAGUUGCUGCAGUUAAAAAGCUCGUAGUUGGAUUUGUGGCGCGGCCGUCCGGCGGGGGCUCUUCACUGAGCCCGUUUGUCCUGGUUUUCGGCCGCUCCUUUCUCGGGUAGCGUGUGGCUGGCAUUAGGUUGUUGGCCGCUUCGCGCCCGUCUUUUACUGUGAAUACAUUAGCAUGGAAUAAUAAGAUAGGGCCACGACGGUCUAUUUUGUUGGUUUGCACGUUGUGGUAAUGGUUAACAGGAAUAGUUGGGGGUAUUCGUAUUCAAUUGUCAGAGGUGAAAUUCUUGGAUUUGUGGAAGACGAACUACUGCGAAAGCAUUUACCAAGGAUGUUUUCA
RNAcentral lists this ribosomal RNA (357 nucleotides) under uncultured eukaryote. RNAcentral describes it as "SSU rRNA". It matches the Rfam family "Eukaryotic small subunit ribosomal RNA", at positions 587 to 972 of the family's 1831-position model. The record is from RNAcentral.